RNAcentral lists this ribosomal RNA (253 nucleotides) under uncultured bacterium. RNAcentral's name for it is "partial 16S ribosomal RNA". It matches the Rfam family "Bacterial small subunit ribosomal RNA", at positions 524 to 776 of the family's 1533-position model. The record is from RNAcentral.
UACGAAGGGUGCAAACGUUGCUCGGAAUCAUUGGGCGUAAAGCGCACGUAGGCGGCCCUGUAAGUCGGAUGUGAAAUCCCUCGGCUCAACCGAGGACGUGCAUUCGAAACUGCAGGACUCGAGUAUGGAAGAGGGUCGCGGAAUUCCCGGUGUAGAGGUGAAAUUCGUAGAUAUCGGGAGGAACACCAGUGGCGAAGGCGGCGACCUGGGCCAAUACUGACGCUGAGGUGCGAAAGCGUGGGGAGCAAACAGG